Molecule: long non-coding RNA, 362 nt
Filed under: Ananas comosus (pineapple)
Lineage: Eukaryota; Viridiplantae; Streptophyta; Magnoliopsida; Poales; Bromeliaceae
Description: long non-coding RNA (ACOM_LNC005136)
Source: RNAcentral
CAUACUCUACCCGAGGCGUCAACACUUUUUUUUUUAAGAGAUAGGUAGCAUACUAUCUGCUUCGCUUAUUUUAUUUAGAAAUAAAUUUAGCUGGAAAUGUGAAUCAACUAGGAUUCGUACCAACCACCAAACCCUUUGCCACUUGCUCUAGGAACGGUUGGUCCGAGGCGUCAACACUAAUUAUCUGCCAAGGAGCUAUACAUAAAGCCAGACUAAAACUUAUUCCAAUCCUAGUUUAAUUAAAUUUAUACUCUACUUAAUCUUUAAAUUCUAAUAAAUUUAUCUUCAUUCGAUUUAAAUAUUUAUUAUAAUCUAACUAAGAUUCUACUACAAAUCUAACUAAAUCCUAACAAAGCCCACAA